Molecule: long non-coding RNA, 975 nt
Filed under: Lotus japonicus
Lineage: Eukaryota; Viridiplantae; Streptophyta; Magnoliopsida; Fabales; Fabaceae
Description: long non-coding RNA (LJAP_LNC000066)
Source: RNAcentral
AGAAAUUUCCAAGAUCAAUCGGAAGGAUCAAACAUUGAGACGAACAGAGAUUGUUCUAUAGAGAUAGCAGCUCCUUGCAAUUUCCUUCGAUUAGUACCUGAGACAUGAAUAAUGAUGACAAUAAGUAAUAGUAAUUUUGAAUUAAAUUGCUCCAAGAAACUAUUUGAAAGUUGUAAUUAUCAUCUAAUGUUUCUUAGCCUUCAUAUUCAUUAAACUAAAUAAGAAAAACACAUAGAAAGGAAGGUGCAAAGGUCGCCAUCAAUUCACCUAAUCUUUCAUCAUUUUUAACUCCUUAGCAGCUGACCAAGCAUUGGGGAUCAUCAAUCCUAGUGUUGAAUCAAGUUCCAUUUUUUAUCCAUGUUGUCAAUCUUCCCGUGGAAGCAUCAAGUGAGGGAGGAUUGAUAAUAUCUUGGAAUUUCAUCUCUGCUACAUUUAGCUAUUCAAUGCUUUCAAAUUCAAUAGAUACAUCACAGGCUUGUAAAGUAGCCAUAAAUGCAAAGCUACCAUGAUGUUAACAGAAAAUUUUAGCAAUUAAAGGCAUUCACACAUGCACACAAAGCACAAAUUGUUAUUUCACUUCGUUUAAUUACACUUGAACUCAUAUUGACAAUUUAUCGAACACAUGGUGGGCACUUAAAAAUUCCCUUGCAUCACUUCCUGCUUUAUGUACAUCAACCCCAAUAAGCAAACAAGUUGACUUAAAUGCAAAGAAUAAAAAACAAAUAUUCACAAGAAGAAUAAUCAUACUAGAAUCGAAAUUAGAGAACCCUAAACUUGAGUGGUCAUGAAAUUGUUGAAUUAAAAUCCUUGCAACUACUGAAGAAUUAAGUAAAAUUAGGAUAAUAAAUCCUAAGCAAUGUACCACUUUUGGAAUAUCGGGGCACAAACCUUGUCUCUGCUUCAAAAAGACAGAGUGGAAAUUGGAGAUGAUGUCGAAGAAGAUGCUUGAGUCUCGGCAUGAGAUAAAGCUUGUCG